CCGUCCUCUAUUUUUCUUUAAUAUUUUUUUGUAUUUCACUGCACGAAUGUUGAACUUCAACUGCUAUUAAGCAGUUGAAGUUUAUUUUUAUACUAGUCAACCCCACUUGUACAGAGUUGAAAACCGCAAUACCAAAAAAAAGUUGAAGUUCCAUCAUACUUCAACUGCAAUUUUUUUUGACAGAUUGAGUUGAUGUCGGCAAUACCGAAUUUUUAUACUUCGACCAAAAUGCAGUUGAGUUGAAAACCGCAAUAUGGGCAUAAGUUUUAAUUUGAUUGAUAUGGUAAACAGUGUUGAAGUAAUAUUAAAAAUGUCAUGAGGUAUGUCUUUUAACUAGUAUACUAACUCCUUGUUUGUUGGUUCGUAUGUUGUAUAAAUUAAAAAUGUAGCCAGUGUAUUGUUUGGGAAAAUGUGUUUUUGGAUAUUGGUUAUUGGAAUGUGAGUUUCCUGAAUACAUAACACAUCUGGGUUCUUUUUUUUGAUAAGUAAUUGCAGCUCAUGGUAAUUGUUCCAAUAUCCAUUCAUGUUCCACUGUAUGAUUUUUAAUACCAUUGAUGUAAAUGAGAGGAAAGCAGAACGUGAGAAUAUGUAUUCAUGUGAAAACCAAUUAAGAUUCCACUGCAGAAACUUAAGCACCAUAAAGAAUCAAUGAGUGUUAGGUGAGAAAAAACUUCACUAUUAAAGAAGUAUUUAAUAGUAAGAGUUUUUUAUAAUUCUAUUUCGUCAACGGUUUCUGAGCUAAGAGAAUCUUUUGGGAAAAGUAGAAGAGUAUUUUGGAUAUAAGUUCUGUCUUCGGUGUUUUGAAGUACAGUAUUAUUGUUUAAGAGUUGUGUGAGAAGAGUGCGUUCGUUUAAAAGGGAGAUUGGGUUAUUGUUGUUGUUUGAUAAAGAAGGAUUGGAAAAGGAUAUGUUUUGUGAGUGUUUACUUGAAUCAGUUGUAUAGUUGGAUUGUUGUGUGCAUUGUUGGUAAGGAGUACCGUCACCGAAAUAAGUAUAGUGUACAAACUAAAAAAUGGAAUUAUGGGAAGUAUACAAGCGUUUUUUUAAACGAUUGCAUGUAAGCAAUUGCGACCUAUUUGUUCAUUGUUGAUCAGUACUUGUUUAAUCCAAACAAAUACUCCUCUGCAUUACUCCCACAAAUUACAUAAAGUAAUAUAGGCGUAAUGCAGAGGAUUAUCAACCGCCCCAACUUCACGCAACAGGCGAAGAAGGAAAAACAAAAGGAAAAUAACUUUCCCGCGCCUUUUGCCUUAAUGCAUAUUUUUUCCCGCCAACACACAGCGAAACACAAGCGAACACGAAGUGAGACGUCUCUACACAAGUGAACAAAAAAAGCGAAAGUGCACAAUCCCGCGAUAAAGUGAAACAUUUUGAACACAACUAGUGAGACAAAUUAUAGUGAAUACGGAAAAACGUUUUUAAACAAGGAAUCCACACAACGGCUGACUUCAUAAACGCAGUUUGCAAUGCAACAUUGCAAACAAAUGCGUUUACGUAGCAAAGCAAUACUUCACGGCAACACUGUUUUGUAAAAUAAUGCAAUGACAUUUUAAACGUUUAUGAACGCAAAAUUGGUUCGCCGAACAUCGUUUGUUGUGUUUCAAUAAAUAAUGAAUGUUCAGCAAUCCUGCGCUUUUGUUUUGCAAAGCGCUUUAGAAUUGGCUGAAACAAAAAAUACAAGCAACACCACGUUAAUUAAAAAUAUAUUAAAUAAAAAAAAGCGCCGGGCUAUUAGAUUAUUAAUGAAUCGCGAUUCAAAAAGAAGGAUUCCUAAAACCUCAAAUUUUUGCAAAACCAUUGAAAUGAUGCAAGAUUACGUGUUUUACUCGCACUUUCGUAUGACGAAGACCACAUUUAAGAUAUUACAGAGCAUGAUAAAUCCUUGGUGGCCUCCGCACACAACAGGACGAAUUGGAAUUUCAUUGGAAAAAUCAUUACAAAUAACGAUUUGGAAGCUGGGCAACAAUUGCUCUUUUAGAGACGUCAGCGAUCGUUUUGAUGUAGCAAUUGGCCUAGCAUAUAAAAUUUUUGUUAAAAUAAUAAAAAUGAUCUGCCGCUUAAAGGGAGAUGUUAUAAAAUUUCCAAAAACUGCAGCUGAACAAAAGCAAAUCAGUGAAGAAUUUUCAAUUCUGCGCUUCAAUUCAUUCCCCUUUGUUCUAGGGUGCGUUGUUGGAACACAUGUUCCAAUUUCACAACCAAUCAAAGAUGAAAUCAGUUAUCGUAACCGAAAGGGAACAUACUCAAUCCUCGCUCAAGAAAAUAUUUGAAGUUUUUUACCCUAACUUAUAAUUUUUAAGUUGAAUACUUUUUUGCAAGGCUAUUGUCGACAGUCGCAUGAAAUUCAUAAAUGUAUUUAUUGGUUGCCCUGGUGCAUGCCAUGACGCAUCGGUAUGGCAAAUGAGUUCUAUCAGGAAGGCCAUAAUUAAUAAAGAAAUUAAUAUUUAUUCCAAUUACCAUUUUUUGGGCGAUGGAGGUUAUCCGUUGGAAAAGUUUAUUAUGGUACCUUAUCGUGAUAACGGAUUCUUAACACCAAUGCAAAUAAAGAUAAUGUAAUUCUAAGCUCAACUCAGGUUGUUGUGGAACAGGCAUUUGGCAUUUUAAAAAAGAAAUUUAGAAUACUAAAAUAUAUUGAAGUUCAACGUCCAUAUAUGCCAAAAUUAAUAACAAUGGCGUGUAUGAUAAUUCAUAACAUUAUUAUUGUAAAUGAAGGCAGCAAUACCGAUGAAAUAAUAGAAGAAAAAAACAUCAUCGAAUUUGAAACGCUCGAAGAAACCACUUUAUCAGGACCGAGAGAUGCAAAAGCAAAGAGAGAUGCAUUAGCAACUUUAUUAUCAGCCUAGUACGUACAUAUGUACCUUUAUCAAUUAAAUUAUAAGUUAAGAGCAUUUUGUUUUAACAUGUUUUAUUGAAUUCAAUUAAUAACAAUAAAUUUAUUGCAUUGA
Bactrocera neohumeralis is the source of this 2941-nucleotide long non-coding RNA. RefSeq lists it as uncharacterized. The transcript has 2 exons. The record is from RefSeq and is a predicted model, not a curated record. Lineage: Eukaryota; Metazoa; Arthropoda; Insecta; Diptera; Tephritidae.